GUACGUCCAUGGAGCCAAAGCUCACUCUCUCUCUCCACUAAUACUCACACAGUCAAAAUCUUCGCCACCCGAAGGUCAUUCUCAACGGUUCUUCAAUUAAACAAGUCUAUUCUUUCUUCUCAUUUGGGUCGUCUCGUGGAAUUCUAGAAAGGUCGCACAAAUAGUUGCAUGACUUCCCAUUUCUUGGGAGAAUAUGAGCUUCAUCUCCUUCUAUGGGUGCAGAAGCCACUGCUUGUAUUGGUCGAAAAGCCGAAGCCAGCAACCCCUUGCUUUUAGAAGCAGGCAAUGGCUUUUGUCACUGUAGCGGUAGUUAGUGUAGUUGAAUGAAAUUUUCGAAAUACCGGGAUGUGUCAUCUCUUCCUUUCAGCAAUUACACCACAAUGCCAUCAAACCAUUCUCUUCCGUGUUCAAAAGUGGAAGCCUCCAGCCCCGAUUAGUGAACACGCACAAGACAUCUAGCUGACUGCUCCUCUCAUUCGUGUUCGAAGCCUCAAUCCAAUCCCUAGAUUUUCGUACCAGGCUCUGAAAAUCGAAAGCUUUCCAGAAAUGAGUACUAAAGCUUGGGCUACUUUUGAUUGCGAAGAUAGUUCCAUUUUGCUGAUCAACCAAGAAGCUUCUCGCAUAACUGAAAUAGGUGUCAUUCUAAGGUAAGAGAAGGUGAUGGGUCAAGUCGUGGGAUAGAGAUGGAUGAUGAUGUAGAAGACAAAUAUCAUGGUCAUGGUGCACAAGAAAUGGAAAUAAUAAGAAAUAGCAUUACUCAAAGUUUGAUGAGUACGCGUAAUAACGUGAACAUUUGAAUAUGUUAUGAUAUUUUUUGUGUUUACUUGAUGCGAACUAGAAACCAAUUGUUAUUAAUGUUACUAAUAUAUUUGUAUAAGUUAUUUUUA
This 887-nucleotide long non-coding RNA is filed under the name Rosa chinensis. Its description in RNAcentral is "sRNA RchiOBHm_Chr6g0296861". The record is from RNAcentral. Lineage: Eukaryota; Viridiplantae; Streptophyta; Magnoliopsida; Rosales; Rosaceae.